Molecule: ribosomal RNA, 376 nt
Filed under: uncultured bacterium
Lineage: Bacteria
Description: bacterial SSU rRNA
Rfam family: Bacterial small subunit ribosomal RNA
Source: RNAcentral
GACAGAGGUCUCGAGCGUUAGGCGGAAUCACUGGGCUUAAAGCGUGUGUAGGCGGAGUGCUAAGUACCUUGUGAAAUCCCACGGCUUAACCGUGGAACUGCUGGGUAUACUGGUUCUCUUGGGCCACUUAGGGGCUACUGGAACAAACGGUGGAGCGGUGAAAUGCGUAGAUAUCGUUUGGAACGCCAAUGGUGAAAACAAGUAGCUGGGAGUGUGCCGACGCUGAGACACGAAAGCCAGGGGAGCGAACGGGAUUAGAUACCCCGGUAGUCCUGGCUGUAAACGAUGUCGACUAGAUCGUGGUGGCUCUGACGCUAUCACGGUCGAAGCAAAAGUGCUAAGUCGACCGCCUGGGAAGUACGGUCGCAAGGCUAAA